This 19-nucleotide small nuclear RNA is filed under the name Arabidopsis thaliana (thale cress). Its description in RNAcentral is "snRNA_18519". Lineage: Eukaryota; Viridiplantae; Streptophyta; Magnoliopsida; Brassicales; Brassicaceae. The record is from RNAcentral.
CUGCGCGCUAACCUAGAAC